Molecule: long non-coding RNA, 1821 nt
Organism: Equus caballus (horse)
Lineage: Eukaryota; Metazoa; Chordata; Mammalia; Perissodactyla; Equidae
Source: Ensembl
AGGGUGUCACUGGUUCGGAUCCUGGGCACCGUUCAUCAGGUCAUGCUGAGGCAGCUUCCCACAUAGCAGAGCCAGAAGGACCUACAACUAGAAUAUACAACUGUGUACUGGGGGCUUUGGGGAGAAGAAAAAGAAAAGCAGAUUGGCAACAGACGUUAGCUCAGGUGCCAAUCUUUAAAAAAAAAAAAAGGAAUUUGAGGAGGGGGCUGAUAAAGAGGAGCUCUGCCAUCCUAACUCAUCUCUCCCUGUUACAUUUUGCAGCCAUUAGAGCUUAUUUCUAAUACCCCAUCACCCUCCUGGGGCCUCCCUUCCUCCCUGGGCACUGUACUGCUGUUGGGGCCUGGGAAGCAAGAGCUGGGGCUGUUAGCAUUGCGGGUAGCAGGACUGACGAAGACUGAGGACUCGCCUAUGUGUGUGUUCCUUUAUGGUGACUUUCUCCACAUGCCUUUCAACACCUUCCAUCUGUAGAGAAGCCAACCUGCUCAAGUCAAUACUUGUCAUCCUCGAGGAAGCAGCCAUACUGUGAGCAGCCCUACAGAUAGAACCACAUGGUGUGAUGAGGAGCUCAGGCCUUCUGUCCAACAGCACAAGAGGAACUGAGACUCUCGAGCCAACAGCCUGCAAGGAACUGAAGCCUGCCAACAACCAUGUGACCGAGCUUGGAAGCUAGUGCUUCAGCCUCAGUUGAGUCUUGAGAUAACUGCAGCCCCAGCGAACAGCUUGACUGCACCCUCCUGAGAGAUCUUGAGUGAAAGGUACCCAGUUAAGCUGCUCUUGAAAUUCCUGAUUCAAAGAAAUUCUGAGAUAAUACCCGUUUGUAGAUUUCAGCUAUUACAUUUUGGUGUAAUUGGUUAUGAGCAAUAGAGAACUAAUAUAUUCCUUAAGGAACAGACAGUACUUGCAACUUUAUUUAUGUUUUUCUUGUUUGUUUCCUUGCUUAACAAGCUAGAAGUUUACUUCUCAUCCAGUUAACAGUCCAGGCCUACCAACGGGGUUCUUCCAUACUUGCAAGUGGUUCCCAUCCCUGUGUCUCAGGCAAUUGUUUAAAUUUCUCCUUCUUCAAACUAGAAAGACAGGGGAGAAGGACCAGAAGGAAUACAAACCCAAUCCCUUAAGGAGCAAGACUUGUAAGUGGCACAUAUCCAUUUCACUCACAUCCCAUUAGCCAAAAUUUGAUCCCAUGAUUAUACCCAGCUGCAUAGGAGGUUUGAAAAUCCCAACGUCAUUUAUCGAUCAUUCAUUCCUUUCCUCCUAUCGCCAGAGUAUUUCAUUCAUUCCACUUUUUUAAACAUUUUAUACAGUUUUAUCAUUACUUUUCUUUCUGAACAAACUCUAAGCUGAUUUUUUACUGUCUCUGUUUACAAAUGAAUGAUUAAAUCAGUACGUCCAACUUUUUAAAAAACUAUAGGUAUUUUUAAAUUUAAUUUUUAUCAAAGUAAAAUAGUCAUAUACAAAAGUACACCAAGCAUAAAUGUAAUUUCUAUGGAUUUUCACAAAAUAGGCACGUAUGUAACCAGCCCCCAAAAAUCAAGAAAUGAAACGUUACCAGAGCUGAAGUCUCCCUUGCACCACUUCUAGGUAUCUUAGAUUAUUUUUAUCUGUUUUAGAACUUUAUAUAAAUGGACUCAUAAAGUAUAUAUGCUUUAGUGUCUGCCUUCUUUUGUUCAAUAUUACAUUAGUGAGAUUGAUCAGACUGUUGUCUGUAGUUGUGGUUCAUUCAUUCUCAUUGCUGUAUAUUAUUCCAUUGAGUGAAUGCACUAUUUCUUUAUUUAAUUAUUUAUGGACAUUUGAAUUGUUUCUAGUUUGUUGGCUAUUACAAAU